UACGUAGGGUGCGAGCGUUGUCCGGAAUUACUGGGCGUAAAGCGCACGUAGGCGGACAUUUAAGUUGGAGGUGAAAGCCUUGGGCUCAACCCAAGAAUUGCCUUUGAUACUGGAUGUCUCGAGACCGGGAGAGGUGAGUGGAAUUCCGAGUGUAGAGGUGAAAUUCGUAGAUAUUCGGAAGAACACCAGUGGCGAAGGCGGCUCACUGGCCCGGUUCUGACGCUGAGGUGCGAAAGCGUGGGGAGCAAACAGG
This 253-nucleotide ribosomal RNA is filed under the name uncultured bacterium. Its description in RNAcentral is "partial 16S ribosomal RNA". It matches the Rfam family "Bacterial small subunit ribosomal RNA", at positions 524 to 776 of the family's 1533-position model. The record is from RNAcentral.